UGGCUCCGUAUGAGCGCUAGCGGCAGGCUUAACACAUGCAAGUCGAGGGGUAGCGGGGAGGAAGCUUGCUUUCUCCGCCGGCGACCGGCGCACGGGUGAGUAACACGUAUGCAACCUGCCCCUGUCAGGGGGACAACCCGCCGAAAGGCGGGCUAAACCCGCGUACAUGCCACCGGGGCAUCCCGGAGGCAGGAAAGGCUUCGGCCGGACAGGGAUGGGCAUGCGGCGCAUUAGGCAGUAGGCGGGGUAACGGCCCACCUAACCGACGAUGCGUAGGGGUUCUGAGAGGAAGGUCCCCCACACUGGUACUGAGACACGGACCAGACUCCUACGGGAGGCAGCAGUGAGGAAUAUUGGUCAAUGGUCGGGAGACUGAACCAGCCAAGCCGCGUGAGGGAGGAAGGUACAGAGUAUCGUAAACCUCUUUUGUCAGGGAACAAAGACUGGGACGCGUCCCCGGAUGAGUGUACCUGAAGAAAAAGCAUCGGCUAACUCCGUGCCAGCAGCCGCGGUAAUACGGAGGAUGCGAGCGUUAUCCGGAUUUAUUGGGUUUAAAGGGUGCGCAGGCGGUCUGUUAAGUCAGCGGUCAAAGCCCGGGGCUCAACCCCGGCCCGCCGUUGAAACUGGCAGUCUCGAGUUGGAGAGAAGUAUGCGGAAUGCGCGGUGUAGCGGUGAAAUGCAUAGAUAUCGCGCAGAACUCCGAUUGCGAAGGCAGCAUGCCGGCUCCACACUGACGCUGAGGCACGAAAGCGUGGGUAUCGAACAGGAUUAGAUACCCAGGUAGUCCACGCAGUAAACGAUGAAUGCUGGCUGUCCGGGGGGACUGACCCCUGGGUGGCGAAGCGAAAGCGAUAAUCAUUCCACCUGGGGAGUACGCCGGCAACGGUGAAACUCAAAGGAAUUGACGGGGGCCCGCACAAGCGGAGGAACAUGUGGUUUAAUUCGAUGAUACGCGAGGAACCUUACCCGGGCUCAAACGGGGAGUGGCGCAGGCAGAGACGCCUGUUUCCCACGGGACACUCCCCGAGGUGCUGCAUGGUUGUCGUCAGCUCGUGCCGUGAGGUGUCGGCUUAAGUGCCAUAACGAGCGCAACCCCCGCGUGCAGUUGCUAACAGUCAACGCUGAGGACUCUGCACGGACUGCCGGCGCAAGCCGCGAGGAAGGCGGGGAUGACGUCAAAUCAGCACGGCCCUUACGUCCGGGGCGACACACGUGUUACAAUGGGUGGUACAGCGGGAAGCCAGGCGGCGACGCCGAGCGGAACCCGAAAUCCACUCUCAGUUCGGAUCGGAGUCUGCAACCCGACUCCGUGAAGCUGGAUUCGCUAGUAAUCGCGCAUCAGCCAUGGCGCGGUGAAUACGUUCCCGGGCCUUGUACACACCGCCCGUCAAGCCAUGGGAGCCGAGGGCGCUUGAAGUGCGUCGCCGCGAGGCGCGCCCUAGAGCGAAAUCGGUGACUGGGGCUAAGUCGUAACAAGG
RNAcentral lists this ribosomal RNA (1478 nucleotides) under uncultured bacterium. Its description in RNAcentral is "16S ribosomal RNA". It matches the Rfam family "Bacterial small subunit ribosomal RNA". The record is from RNAcentral.